AGAAGCUUAGUUUAAAGGCAAAACGGGCGACUUAUAAUCGUCAGUUGACUGGUUCAAGUCCAUCAGCUUCUACCA
RNAcentral lists this transfer RNA (75 nucleotides) under Erysipelotrichaceae bacterium. RNAcentral describes it as "tRNA-Ile". It matches the Rfam family "tRNA". From Rfam's summary of the family: Transfer RNA (tRNA) molecules are approximately 80 nucleotides in length. Their secondary structure includes four short double-helical elements and three loops (D, anti-codon, and T loops). Further hydrogen bonds mediate the characteristic L-shaped molecular structure. tRNAs have two regions of fundamental functional importance: the anti-codon, which is responsible for specific mRNA codon recognition, and the 3' end, to which the tRNAs corresponding amino acid is attached (by aminoacyl-tRNA synthetases). tRNAs cope with the degeneracy of the genetic code in two manners: having more than one tRNA (with a specific anti-codon) for a particular amino acid; and 'wobble' base-pairing, i.e. permitting non-standard base-pairing at the 3rd anti-codon position. The record is from RNAcentral. Lineage: Bacteria; Bacillati; Bacillota; Erysipelotrichia; Erysipelotrichales; Erysipelotrichaceae.